GAUGCAGGCAGUGAACUGUACAUCAUGGAGAGUUUUCAUGACUACAAGAUGGUGAAUAACCGUUCUGUGGUUGAACAAGCUCAUGAGAUACAGUGCAUUGUGAAGGAACUUGAACUCCUUAAAUGUGUUCUACCCGACAAAUUUGUGGCUGGGUGCAUGAUUGCAAAGUUGCCUCCUUCAUGGAGGAAUUUCGCCACAACUCUGAAGCAUAAGAGACAGGAGAUAUCAGUUGAAAAUCUGAUUGCAUCUCUUGAUGUUGAAGAAGAAGCUCGGGCUAAAGAUACCACUGAAAAAGGAGGUGAGGUUCAGCCUACUGCUAACAUGGUGCAGAGGUACCCACAGAACAAGAACAAAGGGAAGAACAAACCUGUUUUCAACAAGCCUACCAAGACUACUACCUUCAAGAAGAAUAAGUUCAACAAGGCUGAGCUAGAGUGCUACGCCUGUGGGAAGCCUGGACACUUUUCCAAGGAAUGCCCUGAACGUGCAGACCGCAGAGGGAAAACAAGCUCCAAGACUGUCAACAUGGUGACCGCUAGCAAUACUGAUGGGUAUGGUAAUUUACCUAUUGUGCUUUUAGUAUUUCAAUCAUCUUCGUGGUGGAUUGAUUCGGGUGCUAACGUUCAUGUGUGUGCUGACAUCUCCUUGUUUACUUCUUAUCAGGUCGCAAGGGAUUCUUCCGUCCUAAUGGGGAAUGGGUCACAUGCUUCUGUUCGUGGCAUUGGCACGGUGGAUCUGAAGUUUACUUCGGAAAAGAUCGUGCAACUAAGGAAUGUGCAGCAUGUCCCUACUAUGAACAAGAAUCUAGUUAGCGGCUCCCUUCUAUGUCGAGAUGGAUUUAAGGUAGUUUUAGAGUCCAAUAAAGUAAUCGUGUCAAGAUUUGGACAAUUUAUAGGAAAAGGCUAUGAGUGCGGAGGCUUGUUCCGCUUUUCUCUUUCAGAUUUUUGCAAUAAGUCAAUAAACCAAAUUUGUGCUAAUGUUAAUGGUGAUGCAAGUAUUUGG
RNAcentral lists this ribosomal RNA (1002 nucleotides) under Triticum aestivum (bread wheat). RNAcentral describes it as "partial small subunit ribosomal RNA". The record is from RNAcentral. Lineage: Eukaryota; Viridiplantae; Streptophyta; Magnoliopsida; Poales; Poaceae.